GAUUUCUGGUUCGGCGCAUUUGGCCCGUCUCGGUUUACGGGAUUGUGUGCCGACGUGCGCCAUCCAUCCUUCGAGAGAACACUUCUACCCUUCACUGGGUCGGGAGUGCUAUCUCGAUCUUUUACUUUGAAAAAAUUAGAGUGUUUAAAGCAGGCUUGCGCUAUGAAUACAUUAGCAUGGAAUAAUAAUCUAGGACUUUCGGUUCUAUUUUGUUGGUGUUCUGGAGCUGAAGUAAUGAUUGAUAGGGAUAGUUGGGGGUGCUAGUAUUCAAUGGCCAGAGGUGAAAUUCUCGGAUUCCUUGAAGACUAACUUAUGCGAAAGCAUU
Molecule: ribosomal RNA, 325 nt
Filed under: uncultured Cercomonas
Lineage: Eukaryota; Cercozoa; Cercomonadida; Cercomonadidae
Description: SSU rRNA
Rfam family: Eukaryotic small subunit ribosomal RNA (bases 108-325)
Source: RNAcentral